AGUGUCAAGGAACAUGCAA
This 19-nucleotide small nuclear RNA is filed under the name Arabidopsis thaliana (thale cress). RNAcentral describes it as "snRNA_01508". The record is from RNAcentral. Lineage: Eukaryota; Viridiplantae; Streptophyta; Magnoliopsida; Brassicales; Brassicaceae.